AUUCUAUUCUAAGGUACCCUCCUUUAUGACAGAACCAUACAGAAAGACAUGCAAAGCACUCUACAUUGGCUACAGCUUAAGACUAGCCUCAUAAAUGUUUUUUCUCUUUCUCCCAUUUAUCAGAACUUCACAGAGAAUAUAAACAGUGAUUUUAUCAUUCAUUCAACUGGUUUGCACAGGGAGAGGGAGGCCAGAAGUCUGACUGAUAUUAAUAAGGAUCUUGAGAUGACAUCAUACUGGAUUUUCCUAGUACACCCUAAAUCUGUAAAUAAGACUAUUUGAGGAUGGAAGCAGAGCUUGCAGUUAUGCAGCUACAAGACAAAGAAUGCCUUGAGCCACCAGCACCUGAAAGAGGCAGAGGAGGUAGGAGAAGUAAUGAAAAAAAUCCAUGGGUGACAUCAUCAACUAAGCCAGGUGACAAAUAAUCAGCAUAAAACCAAGAAUACAAGAGUAGUUGUCCUAAUCCUUGCCAGCAUGGGGCCAGUACCAUGUGGGGUUAAGGGCAAAGAUAAAAUUAAGAUCAAAGGAAGAAUUGGAA
Molecule: long non-coding RNA, 538 nt
Organism: Sapajus apella (tufted capuchin)
Lineage: Eukaryota; Metazoa; Chordata; Mammalia; Primates; Cebidae
Exons: 3
Source: RefSeq, a predicted model, not a curated record